RNAcentral lists this long non-coding RNA (1384 nucleotides) under Amazona collaria (yellow-billed parrot). Its description in RNAcentral is "lncRNA (ENSACOG00000003449.1)". Lineage: Eukaryota; Metazoa; Chordata; Aves; Psittaciformes; Psittacidae. The record is from RNAcentral.
GAGUGUGCAGAGUGCCUGAAUAGGCACUUGUCCCCAGUGUCCUCCGUCACCAGUGCACACCAAGUGCCAGAGGGGUAAGUGAGAGCAAAGUAGCACCCUGGAGCUCCCCGUCCACGACAGCUUUGCACCUCUGCAGCCCGUGGCUGCCACAGCAGCUCCCAUGCAACAGAGCAUCCUGUCUACUGCCACAGAAACACACAGCAGCAAGCAAGGUCUAUCUGUUGACAUUGGCUCUCCUGAGCAGAGCGUUGGGCCACGCCAGGAAGCUGAGUGUACGACUCUCCUUGUGUUUCCCACCUUCCCAGGGGUUAUCGCCUGUGAAAUCUCACACACACCCAUGGCAGAAAAGGUUUCUGAUGCAGAGGCAGGUGAAAGGUGCCCGCUGGUCCCACGGUGGAACGUUGUUUGCUCCAAUAUUUGAGGAAAGCAAACAGAGGGGGUGCCUGAACACAAACAGCCAUGGAUGUUUUUUUGCAGUCUUUGCCCUGCUCUAACCCCAAGCCCACCACAGACACUUGUAGGUGACCCCUCUGCUUCAUGUACCCCUUGGCUCUGCCCUGUGCACUGCCUGUGCCCACUGCUGGCCACGAUCCCACUGCAAAUACUGCUGUAUUUCAAAGAAGAUCACCCAGACGUUGCUGCUUGCGGGACCACCAUUGCUCACCACCCCUUUGCGCUCACUUUAGACGAACAUCAUUUUAAUGCCAUUUGAGACGUGUCAGCAGAAGACCAACUGAGCCCGUCUGACCCGCACACCUACACCUGCCCUGCGGAGCUCUCAAUAGCUCUCAGCUACUCCUCAAGGCUCCCCAGGCCUCGUGCUGCUCGCCUUCUGGAGCUGGAGCUCACCCCAGCCCUCCGUGCUCACUCCCAUUGUAAAAUGCCAUUGUACUUCCAAGUGAAGCUGCAGACCAGGGCGUGCUGCUGCCUGGUAAGCGCUGGGGUGAGGCGGGUGCCCCGGUGUGGUGGAAGCUGCAGCCCUGCGUACGACAGCAGGCACUGUCUUGACACUGAGCAGCAUCCGUGCAGCUCCCAGCAAUGCGGAGCAUCCCCUGCUCUUCCCCAAGGAGACCCUCUUCCGUUUUCCCGAAGCCUCAGGAUCAAGCCAAGGCACCUAAGCAGCGAUUGUCCCUUUUGCAUCCCAUCUGAUACCAGGGCUUAUUUCUGGGUGCAGCAAGACCCCGCUCAGCUGUUUCUUGCUCUGCUGAAGCUGCUCCCCUCAUCUGACCAAGCUGCCCGAGCAGCUCUGACAUCUCGCGUUAUUCAGCUGAUUUCCAAGGCUGCUUUACUGAGCUGGCCCUGCUGUGACCACCGGCCCUGGGGAUCCCUGGCUCUGAGACACUUCCAACAUACAAAGGAGAGGUGCUGCCCAUGCUGGGAUUGA